This 492-nucleotide ribosomal RNA is filed under the name uncultured bacterium. RNAcentral's name for it is "partial 16S ribosomal RNA". It matches the Rfam family "Bacterial small subunit ribosomal RNA", at positions 29 to 507 of the family's 1533-position model. The record is from RNAcentral.
AGUGAACGCUGGCGGUAGGCCUAACACAUGCAAGUCGAACGGCAGCACAGUAAGAGCCCUCGCUUACGGGGGGCGAGGGGCGGGUGGGUGAGGAGUACAUCGCAAGCUACGUUUGCGUGGUCGAUGACGUAGGGAAACAUACGCUAAUACCGCAUACGACGUACGGGGGGGGGCAUCGGACCUUCGGCUCUUGCGGGGUUGAAUGAGCCGAUGUCGGAUUAGCUAGUUGGCGGGGUAAAGGCCCACCAAGGCGACGAUCCGUAGCUGGUCUGAGAGGAUGAUCAGCCACACUGGAACUGAGACACGGUCCAGACUCCUACGGGAGGCAGCAGUGGGGAAUAUUGGACAAUGGGCGCAAGCCUGAUCCAGCCAUGCCGCGUGUGUGAAGAAGGCCUUCGGGUUGUAAAGCACUUUUGUUGGGAAAGAAAAGCAGUGGGUUAAUACCACGCUGUUAUGACGGUACCCAAAGAAUAAGCACCGGCUAACUACGUG